GACGAACGCUGGCGGCGUGCUUAACACAUGCAAGUCGAACGGAAAGGCCCUGCUUUUGUGGGUUGCUCGAGUGGCGAACAGGUGAGUAACACGUGAGUAACCUGCCCUUGACUUUGGGAUAACUUCAGGAAACUGGGGCUAAUACCGGAUAGGAGCUCCUGCUGCAUGGUGGGGGUUGGAAAGUUUCGGCGGUUGGGGAUGGACUCGAGGGUUAUCAGCUUGUUGGUGGGGUAGUUGCUUACCAAGGCUUUGAGGGGUAGCCGGCCUGGGAGGGUGACCGGCCACAUUGGGACUGAGAUACGGCCCAGACUCCUACGGGAGGCAGCAGUGGGGAAUAUUGCACAAUGGGCGGAAGCCUGAUGCAGCAACGCCGCGUGCGGGAUGACGGCCUUCGGGUUGUAAACCGCUUUCGCCUGUGACGAAGCGUGAGUGACGGUAAUGGGUAAAGAAGCACCGGCUAACUACGUG
RNAcentral lists this ribosomal RNA (468 nucleotides) under uncultured bacterium. RNAcentral describes it as "partial 16S ribosomal RNA". It matches the Rfam family "Bacterial small subunit ribosomal RNA", at positions 28 to 507 of the family's 1533-position model. The record is from RNAcentral.